ACUCCUACGGGAGGCAGCAGUGGGGAAUAUUGCACAAUGGGCGCAAGCCUGAACCAGCCAUGCCGCGUGUCAGAUGAAGGUCCUCUGGAUUGUAAAUGACUUUUCUACGGGAAGAAUGAGCCGUCUGCGGACGGAAGUUGACGGUACCGUAGGAAUAAGCACCGGCUAACUACGUGCCAGCAGCCGCGGUAAUACGUAGGGUGCAAGCGUUGUCCGGAUUUACUGGGUUUAAAGGGUACGUAGGCGGUUGUGCCAAGUCUGGGGUGAAAGUUUGCAGCUCAACUGUAAAAUUGCCUUGGAUACUGGUCGGCUAGAGUAGUGGAGCGGUGGCUGGAAUUUAUAGUGUAGCGGUGAAAUGCUUAGAUACUAUGAGGAACACCAAUUGCGAAGGCAGGUCACUGGUCACUAACUGACGCUGAGGUACGAAAGUGUGGGGAUCAAACAGGAUUAGAUACCCUGGUAGGCUACCC
Molecule: ribosomal RNA, 470 nt
Filed under: uncultured bacterium
Lineage: Bacteria
Description: bacterial SSU rRNA
Rfam family: Bacterial small subunit ribosomal RNA
Source: RNAcentral